UACGUAGGGUCCAAGCGUUGUUCGGAUUUACUGGGCGUAAAGGGCGCGUAGGCGGUUUGUCAAGUCAGUUGUGAAAUCUCCGAGCUUAACUCGGAACGGUCAGCUGAUACUGUCAAACUAGAGUUCAGAAGGGGCAAUCGGAAUUCUUGGUGUAGCGGUGAAAUGCGUAGAUAUCAAGAAGAACACCUGAGGUGAAGACGGGUUGCUGGGCUGAUACUGACGCUGAGGCGCGAAAGCUAGGGUAGCAAACGGG
This 253-nucleotide ribosomal RNA is filed under the name uncultured bacterium. RNAcentral's name for it is "partial 16S ribosomal RNA". It matches the Rfam family "Bacterial small subunit ribosomal RNA", at positions 524 to 776 of the family's 1533-position model. The record is from RNAcentral.